Molecule: long non-coding RNA, 2403 nt
Filed under: Capsicum annuum
Lineage: Eukaryota; Viridiplantae; Streptophyta; Magnoliopsida; Solanales; Solanaceae
Description: long non-coding RNA (CANN_LNC010026)
Source: RNAcentral
CACAAAUAAACAAGUCUAAAUAAGAGAACAAAAGUUUAAAAGUUAGAAUUGGGCCUUUCUGGGCCCUUCAGUGGGCUGUCCAUCUUAUGGACUUUUAAGUCCAUUUCCCUGCAAUGUAUAUCAGCUGUAUACAGACGGUAUAUCAGUUUGGCUGUUGCUGCGUUUUUGUGUAUAUACUGGUCAAAUAUAUACAUAUUUUUGCCUUCCAACCAUAUAAUCAGCUUCCUUUUCCAUGUCCCCUUUUCCUAGCCUGUAUAAUGGUGUAUAUCUGUUGUAUACCAGCACAAAACAGUCCCCUUGGGACUUGAAUCUGAGGUUUUGGGUCGACGCAAAUCAGAUUCAACUCAACGGAAUGUGAGGGAAGGGAUUCCGAGAGACUCAACGGAGGAGUUCAUGCAUAAAAGGAGAGAUAAUGGUUAGAAUUGAGAUUUCGCAUCAUAAGGAUAAGCCAAUCAAAGAAAAAGAAGUAAAUAGCGCACUUCAAUCUAAUCCGAACAUCAUAAUGACUUAAUGUAUAAGCAAAACAUGUGUUGACAAGGAGGCUUUAAAAAGGAAGUAAAAAUCACUUAAGCACCACACAAACUGACCAUAGCAAGGACAUGUUAGUUCACUGUUAGUACUAUUCUUAGGAUAUCAACACAUUACCAAGAUGACGAUUCAAUAUAUUGAAUUAACUUUAGACACUUCAAGCAAUCAUGCUAAACUUUAAUCAAGCAAUCAUAGGGGAGCACUAAUCGAUCAUGUUAGGCUUAGUCGAGGGAGAAGGAUAUUCAUGUAAGGUAGGCUAGAAUGUCACAAGUUGAGGCUUGAGAUUCCAAACAACUAUAAUCCAAACGAUCAGUCUACCGCUUAAUGCACUUUACUAAUUUAAGAGAAAAGAAAAAAAAUUAUCACUUUAAUAAACUAAACAUUAAUACCACAUAAAAGAUGGCAAGCAAAGUUCCAGAUCACUGCAACCCUUCAGAAAAUACAUAAGGACAACAUUGAAUAAGAUAAUGAUUAGAAUUAUUUUUCUUUUUUUUAAAAAAAAUAAAUAUAUAUAGACCAUAUUCAAGCUGUCCAGAACAUAGAACUUUACUUAUUCCAAGUUUUGGAGCCUUUGAUACUAUAAACCAAAAGACUUGACAAGCUUCCAAUUUUUUAAAAGGUAUUUGGAUCAAACCAAGACAGGAAUUAAUUAGACCAAUUCAAGUAAAUAAUAUUUCUUCGAACUCGAGGAAUAUUUUAAAACAUAACCUAAGUUCUAGUCAAUGCUCAUCUUAAUUCAAGAAAAAUUAUAAGAGUGCAGCAACAUGUAAGUCAAGAUUUCACAUUUCUCCCCAACGCCAAGUACUCAAUCCGAAAGAAACAUAAUAGUUGUAUUCCGCCCCAAAACAGAGAAUGAAACAGAAACCUCAUUUUUUGGUCAUUUGAAAAUCCUGAACAUUGGAAUAUACCAUAGAAGACCAUCAAAGCUUAAAGCUUUUCAACUUCAUACAUCCACAACAGAGUUCUAUACCUUCUCAAUCCCAGGAGUUUUCACCAAAAAUCAAACACAUAUUACACAUAAAAGACCAACCAAUUUUCAUCGUUACUAUGAGAUCAUGACAUAAAGAAAGAAAAAAAAAAAGAGAUUUUCACCUUCUUUGGAGCAUCCAGAUGGGACAAAACUAGCUCAGAAAAAUGUCCAUCGCAGUUUCGAUUCGCUACUGAAAUUCGAACAACUGUCGAUGAUUUUUCCUGGUUACGUAGGCUUAGAGGUGCGCACCUCCACAACCCUCAAUUUUUCCCAAGAAAACCUCCCUCUCACCCUCUUCUUCUUAGCAGCUAUUUAUAAGAGAGAUUUGGGGGGAAAAUAGCUAGGGUUUUCGAACUUCAAAAAGGGGAUUUGAGUUGAAAUUUUGAGAAGUUUUUCAAAUCCACAGUAAAACAAAACAAUUCAAAGCUUUUUGCUUCAGAAUCAGUAGAAAAGGAAAGGAAAGGAGCCGUUUGGCUUUGUUGGUCAAAGAAACCAAUUGAUUUUUACCCAAAUCAGUGAAUCAUGGUCUGCCUCUUCCGAAAGCAUCUGUUUUUGAGCCACAAAUGGCUGUACCGAAGCGGUAAGAUGGUAAAUGGGAGUGAUUUGAGGUCUUGCCAUUGUUGACCAUUCCUGGGACACCGUUUAAUGCUGACGUUGAAACAGGUUUUGGUUGUUGGUGUUGUUAAAGCGUUGAAACUGUCACGGCGUUUGUGCGUAUUGUACGCGUAUUUGUUUUGGUCGUGUUUUUGCUGUUUGUUACGCCGUUUGGCGUUGGUUUUGGAGAAGAGGUAUUAAAAAAUAGGGAUAGGCCGGAUAUUGCUGUUGGACUUGGGCUUGGGCGGCUGGUAAGAGCUGUUGGCCCGAACAGAUUGGACCUGUGUUGUUAUUUUUAAUGCUGAAGGGAG